AGCGAACGCUGGCGGCAGGCCUAACACAUGCCAGUCGAACGAACCUUUCGGGGUUAGUGGCGGACGGGUGAGUAACACGUGGGAACGUGCCUUUAAGUUCGGAAUAACUCAGGGAAACUUGUGCUAAUACCGAAUGUGCCCUUCGGGGGAAAGAUUUAUCGCCUUUAGAGCGGCCCGCGUCUGAUUAGCUAGUUGGUUGAGGUAAUGGCUCACCAAGGCGACGAUCAGUAGCUGGUCUGAGAGGAUGAUCAGCCACAUUGGGACUGAGACACGGCCCAAACUCCUACGGGAGGCAGCAGUGGGGAAUCUUGCGCAAUGGGCGAAAGCCUGACGCAGCCAUGCCGCGUGAAUGAUGAAGGUCUUAGGAUUGUAAAAUUCUUUCACCGGGGACGAUAAUGACGGUACCCGGAGAAGAAGCCCCGGCUAACUUCGUG
This 434-nucleotide ribosomal RNA is filed under the name uncultured bacterium. RNAcentral's name for it is "partial 16S ribosomal RNA". It matches the Rfam family "Bacterial small subunit ribosomal RNA", at positions 29 to 507 of the family's 1533-position model. The record is from RNAcentral.